GACGAACGCUGGCGGCGUGCUUAACACAUGCAAGUCGAACGGAAAGGCCCUGCUUUUGUGGGGUGCUCGAGUGGCGAACGGGUGAGUAACACGUGAGUAACCUGCCCUUGACUUUGGGAUAACUUCAGGAAACUGGGGCUAAUACCGGAUAGGAGCUCCUGCUGCAUGGUGGGGGUUGGAAAGUUUCGGCGGUUGGGGAUGGACUCGCGGCUUAUCAGCUUGUUGGUGGGGUAGUGGCUUACCAAGGCUUUGACGGGUAGCCGGCCUGAGAGGGUGACCGGCCACAUUGGGACUGAGAUACGGCCCAGACUCCUACGGGAGGCAGCAGUGGGGAAUAUUGCACAAUGGGCGGAAGCUUGAUGCAGCAACGCCGCGUGCGGGAUGACGGCCUUCGGGUUGUAAACCGCUUUCGCCUGUGACGAAGCGUGAGUGACGGUAAUGGGUAAAGAAGUACCGGCUAACUACGUG
RNAcentral lists this ribosomal RNA (468 nucleotides) under uncultured bacterium. Its description in RNAcentral is "partial 16S ribosomal RNA". It matches the Rfam family "Bacterial small subunit ribosomal RNA", at positions 28 to 507 of the family's 1533-position model. The record is from RNAcentral.